GACGAACGCUGGCGGCAGGCUUAACACAUGCAAGUCGAACGGGUGUAGCAAUACAGUCAGUGGCAGACGGGUGAGUAACACGUGGGAACCUUCCUAGGGGUACGGAACAACUCAGGGAAACUUGAGCUAAUACCGUAUACGUCCGUAAGGAGAAAGAUUCAUCGCCCCUAGACGGGCCCGCGUCGGAUUAGGUAGUUGGUGGGGUAACGCCUACCAAGCCUACGAUCCGUAGCUGAUCUGAGAGGANGAUCAGCCACACUGGGACUGAGACACGGCCCAGACUCCUACGGGAGGCAGCAGUGGGGAAUCUUGGACAAUGGGCGCAAGCCUGAUCCAGCCAUG
RNAcentral lists this ribosomal RNA (342 nucleotides) under uncultured bacterium. Its description in RNAcentral is "bacterial SSU rRNA". It matches the Rfam family "Bacterial small subunit ribosomal RNA", at positions 28 to 396 of the family's 1533-position model. The record is from RNAcentral.